AUGCCGACGUCUCCUGUUAAAACGAGGAUUCCAGUGACCAGCUUCGGCCAUCUGGUGACAGAAGUGAAGAUCCAAUAUGGAAGUUCUGUCAUUACAGCAGCAGGAGUUGGAACUCAUACAAUUGAGGACAAAAGUGAGAUAAUCAAUGCCAAAGUUUGCCCAGCACAAAGGAAGGAAAUGUUUGAGAAAAAAAAGCUGUAGAAUUAGUAAGACAAAAAG
This 219-nucleotide long non-coding RNA is filed under the name Gouania willdenowi (blunt-snouted clingfish). RNAcentral's name for it is "lncRNA (ENSGWIG00000003250.1)". The record is from RNAcentral. Lineage: Eukaryota; Metazoa; Chordata; Actinopteri; Blenniiformes; Gobiesocidae.